Peromyscus maniculatus bairdii (prairie deer mouse) is the source of this 84-nucleotide small nucleolar RNA. NCBI's taxonomy places the organism in Eukaryota, Metazoa, Chordata, Mammalia, Rodentia, Cricetidae. The record is from Ensembl.
GGCACAUGAUGUCUGUUUUCACGAUGGUCUUCAGACAGCCCGAGGGGCACUGCUGAGAGCGAUUGGCACAGCUGAUGCCAGAGG